UCGGGGUAAAAUCCAUCAAGCAUCUUUGUAACACAGCAGGGAGGCAUUAUACAGGAGGGAAUAUUUCCUCACUUGCAUCUUUGUUACAGAGCAGGGAGGCAUUAUACAGGAGGUGCUAAUUUCUCACUAGCUCCGCUUUGUGAGGGAUUGCUCAAUCUGACGUGAGGCGCCGCUCUUUGCCUUACCCCGCUUGUCUCCUCUGCUCAGGUCACGAGCAAAUUCAGCUAUUUUGGUUAUAAAAUUAUUUAAGAUCAUUGGAAUCAUACAAAAAUUACAUUUAUAGCACAGAUAAGUAGAACAUAUUAAUAUCUGGGUUUUUUUCAUUAUAUAAUUUAACAUAUGUGUUGUGUUUUUAUUAUCUUAAUUUCUAAUGGACCAAUGAUAAUUCGUGAAUACACUAUGCCCGCGAAAUCGCGGAGCGAGCUGUCAGUUGAAGUCUAUCACAAAUGGAUGGUGAACGUACUUGUCCUCCGCUGAAAAAGCGGCGAAUUUCUGAACAGCGCUUCAAGCUAGAAUAUAACGCAGAAUGGCCGACCAUCACCCGGUCGAAGCUGGACGACUUCCACGCUUACUGUAUGUUGUGUAAGACAGAUUUUAGCGUGAGGCAUGGGGGCUGACACAACGUUGAAAAGCACAUCAGGACUGCUAAACACACGUCAUACAAGGCGGCAGUGGAAGCUACAAGGCCCAUCGCGGGCUUCUUUACGGUUGACAGUGACACCAGUGUCAUAAAUGCCGAAGUGCUCGCUGUGGACUUUCUGGUGGAACACAACAUCCCGAUCGCGGUGGCCGACCACAUCGGGCCACUGGUGAAAAAGAUGUUUCCGGACUCGAAAAUCGCUGGAAAGUAUGGGUCUGGUCGCACAAAGAGCAGCGCCAUUGUUGGAGCUCUUGCCAAGGAGGAUGCGUCUGUGAUCACGGAGGCAAUGAGGACAGCUCCAUACUCCCUAGCCACGGAUGGGAGCACUGACUAUGGAGACUAGUGUCAUGAGGCAUCUACUGGGCAGAACAUAUUCAAACUCAUUGACAAUGAACUUGAGAAACGUAGCAUAUCCUGGGACAACUGCAUGAGUUUUGGGGCAGAUAAUGCCAUGGUGAUGCAGGGACUCAAAGCUGGCACGGCAGGCUACAUCAACAAAAAAAACAGUGCAGUAUAUGUGCUGGGAUGCCCGUGCCAUCUAAUUCAUCUAGCUGCAGAAAAAGCUGCUGCUCAGCUUCCAGUGUCCAUUGAAGAGCUGCUGGUGGACAUAUACUUCUACCUAGACAAAUCCAGCAAGAGGAAACAGGGACUGAAGAAAUUUCAGGAUCUGUGUGGAGUGGAAAUGAGAAAGAUUGUUAAACAUGUAAGUACGAGGUGGCUCUCUUUAGAUAAAUGCAUCGCCAGGUUGUUGCAGCAGUGGCCUGCAUUGCUGCAAUACUUUGAGUCAGAACAGUCUGGGCACAGCAGCAAGGACAAGACCACGCAGAGCAGCAGCAAG
Eleginops maclovinus (Patagonian blennie) is the source of this 1478-nucleotide long non-coding RNA. RefSeq lists it as uncharacterized. Lineage: Eukaryota; Metazoa; Chordata; Actinopteri; Perciformes; Eleginopidae. The record is from RefSeq and is a predicted model, not a curated record. The transcript is spliced from 3 exons.